Molecule: non-coding RNA, 1665 nt
Organism: Musa acuminata subsp. malaccensis (wild Malaysian banana)
Lineage: Eukaryota; Viridiplantae; Streptophyta; Magnoliopsida; Zingiberales; Musaceae
Source: RefSeq, a predicted model, not a curated record
CUCGAGGGGUGGAUUGCACUUGGCAUGACGGGGUUUGAGAAGGGAUGCGAAGCGAAGCAGGUUGACAGGAGAGAGUGAGCACACGCCGGGGGUAAAUGGCAUGACGGGGUGCUGUUUCCGUUGCGUGCUCAAAUCUCUUGUUGUCAACCUUUCGCUGUUAUUUCUUCUGUGAUCAUACUUGAAAAUGCGCUCCCCUCCCACCGGAGAAGAGAGAGAGAGAGAGAGGGAGGUGGAGAAAGAGAGUGAUUGAACGUGUCUAACGAGGCUGCCUUUUACUUCGUCAGUGUUUCGGCGGCCGCGUUGCGAUGUUUUGCUUUGCUUCGCUUCGCUGUCAGUCAUAUCCUAUCUGCCUAUCAGCUCGACGGAUUUGCGUGGGUGAAGAAGCGCGUGCUUAAUUGCCUCUCCGGUUUUCGCUCUUUCCUUUCAUUAAUGCUUAUAAAGUUCUAGAAAUUGGGAAAUUGUAGGAAUAAUCGCGUCUGUUGAAAAGGGAAGUAAGAGAGAGAGAGAGAGAGCGAUGGAUGAGGGAGUGGUAUUGUCCGUCUCUGCCCUGUUUGUAAUGAAGCCGGAGAGAGAGAAUAGAAAGAGUACAGUACUACACCUUGAAGCAGGCUGUGCCGCCUCACCGGAAGACACUGUUUGACCAAUUCCACUCUCCUUCUUGGUGUUCUCCCAUCUUUUCUGUCGUCCUUCUUGCUGGCUUUCCUUUCCUUUCCAUGUCUGUUGCCUGUUUCGGAUAGGGUUUGGAGCGUUUCAACAAAACAUGGAUUCAAGCUGUGAGGAUCCGUGGAGAGAAGGUGCUCCCGGAGGUUCAUGUCCACCAUCGUCCAUUCCCGACCAUCACACUGUUUUUUCUUUCGUUUGCGCUCGAGACCAUUUCCUCACCACCUUGAUGGGCUGUUGCUUUGUCAACUUGAACAAAGACUCACUCGCUGCUCUCGCCACGACUCCGACGAGCGGAAAGGGGUGAGCUUUGUUGCCCUUCCCCAUGCCUGAUCGAUUCAUCUCGACUAGCUUUUGUGGAAAGAAGCCAAUGAAUCAUCGCUGGUAUCUGUCAGGGUUUGGAGCGUUUCAACAAAACAUGGAUUCAAGCUGUGAGGAUCCGCGGAGAGAAGGUGCUCCCCGAGGUUCAUGCCCACCAUCGUCCAUUCCUGGCCAUCUAACUGUGUUUUCUUUCGUUUGCGCUCGAGACCAUUUCCUCACCACCUUGAUGGGCUGUUACUUUGCCAACUUGAACAAAGACUCGCUGCUCCAGUACAAUGGAUCAUCUCUUUUUACAAGCAACCUGGAGGUGUUUGUAUUGCAUUGUAUCAUUUCAUUAUAAUUCACCGAUCUUAAUAAUAGUAAAAGAUCCAUGUAGCCGAUCUUAAAUAAUUGGGACAGCUUUGUUGUUGUUGUUUGUUGUUAUUGUAAAUUAAAUCGGUAUCGAUCCAUUUCAAUGAACACAAAUCACUGGUCUAAAUGUAUUUACCUGUGAUUGAAACUGGCACAGGAUUCACAACUGCUGUUCUUAGUUUUUUGUUUUUACCGAUUCUCUGGAUCUCGAAUUGUAUCAUUGUUCUUAUUUUCCGAGACCAGCUUAGAACUUUUCAUUUCAAAGUGCUUCUUGUUGCUUCUGCAUAGUCCUUGUUGCAAUUGCUGUAUGCUUUCCCAUAAUCCAUCUAUCAA